Molecule: long non-coding RNA, 207 nt
Filed under: Setaria viridis
Lineage: Eukaryota; Viridiplantae; Streptophyta; Magnoliopsida; Poales; Poaceae
Description: long non-coding RNA (SVIR_LNC007556)
Source: RNAcentral
AGAGGCCAAUGGGGCAAUCUUUGAUCGCUCCAAAGGCAAGGCGAAGCGGGAGGAGGACAUCGACGAGUGAACCUCCAACCGCCAUCAAAAGAAGAAGAACAAGCAAUGGCGCGAGGCUCCCCUUGUGGCUGUUGCCAAGCGCAAACGGGGACAGCCGCCUCCCGAUGGCACCCCCAGCUUCUUCGACAAGUUGCUUGAGGGACCGUG